RNAcentral lists this ribosomal RNA (396 nucleotides) under uncultured bacterium. RNAcentral describes it as "bacterial SSU rRNA". It matches the Rfam family "Bacterial small subunit ribosomal RNA", at positions 8 to 407 of the family's 1533-position model. The record is from RNAcentral.
AGAGUUUGAUCCUGGCUCAGGACGAACGCUGGCGGCGUGCUUAACACAUGCAAGUCGAACGGUGAAGUCCCUUCGGGGGCGGAUCAGUGGCGAACGGGUGAGUAACACGUGGGCAAUCUGCCCCUCACUGUGGGAUAACUCCGGGAAACCGGGGCUAAUACCGCAUAUGAAGCCUGGCGGCAUCGCCGGGUUUGGAAAGUUUUUCGGUGGGGGAUGAGCCCGCGGCCUAUCAGCUUGUUGGUGAGGUAAUGGCUCACCAAGGCGACGACGGGUAGCCGGCCUGAGAGGGCGACCGGCCACACUGGGACUGAGACACGGCCCAGACUCCUACGGGAUGCAGCAGUGGGGAAUAUUGGGCAAUGGGCGAAAGCCUGACCCAGCGACGCCGCGUGCGGG